RNAcentral lists this ribosomal RNA (494 nucleotides) under uncultured bacterium. RNAcentral describes it as "partial 16S ribosomal RNA". It matches the Rfam family "Bacterial small subunit ribosomal RNA", at positions 28 to 507 of the family's 1533-position model. The record is from RNAcentral.
GACGAACGCUGGCGGCGUGCUUAACACAUGCAAGUCGAACGGUGAAGCGCCUUCCUUUUUGGUGAGUGUGGAUGAGUGGCGAACAGGUGAGUAACACGUGAGUAACCUGCCCCCUUCUUCUGGAUAACCGCAUGAAAGUGUGGCUAAUACGGGAUAUUCUGGGUCUGUCGCAUGAUGGGUCUGGGAAAGAUAUUGUUUCGGUGGGGGAUGGGCUCGCGGCCUAUCAGCUUGUUGGUGGGGUGAUGGCCUACCAAGGCGGUGACGGGUAGCCGGCCUGAGAGGGUGGACGGUCACACUGGGACUGAGACACGGCCCAGACUCCUACGGGAGGCAGCAGUGGGGAAUAUUGCACAAUGGGCGCAAGCCUGAUGCAGCGACGCCGCGUGAGGGAUGGAGGCCUGCGGGUUGUGAACCUCUUUCGCCAGUGAAGCAGGCCUGCCUCGUUUGUGGGUGGGUUGACGGUAGCUGGAUAAGAAGCGCCGGCUAACUACGUG